ACACAGACACACACACAGCCAGGUCACCCAUGAUACAAGUCAGUAUUCGACAUCUAUCCAUGUCUGAGAUGACGUGGUAACCAGACACUAGGGGAACACUGAGCCCUGUUACCUUUAAACAGGUUUCCACUAGGGGAACACUGAGAUCUGUUGUUAAACAGGUUUCCACUGGGGAACACUGAGAUCUGUUACCUUUAAACAGGUUUCUACUGGGGAACACUGAGAUCUGUUAUUAAACAGGUUUCCACUGGGGAACACUGAGAUCUGUUACCUUUAAACAGGUUUCUACUGGGGAACACUGAGAUCUGUUAUUAAACAGGUUUCCACUAGGGGGAACACUGAGAUCUGUUAUUAAACAGGUUUCCACUGGGGAACACUGAGAUCUGUUAUUAAACAGGUUUCCACUAGGGAACACUGAGAUCUGUUACCUUUAAACAGGUUUCCACUAGGGGAACACUGAGAUCUGUUAGUAAACAGGUUUCCACUAGGGGGAACACUGAGAUCUGUUAUUAAACAGGUUUCCACUGGGGAACACUGAGAUCUGUUAUUAAACAGGUUUCCACUGGGGAACACUGAGAUCUGUUAUUAAACAGGUUUCCACUGGGGAACACUGAGAUCUGUUACCUUUAAACAGGUUUCCACUGGGGAACACUGAGAUCUGUUAUUAAACAGGUUUCCACUGGGGAACACUGAGAUCUGUUACCUUUAAACAGGUUUCCACAGGGGAACACUGAGAUCUGUUAGUAAACAGGUUUCCACUAGGGGGAACACGGAGAUCUGUUAUUAAACAGGUUUCCACUGGGGAACACUGAGAUCUGUUAUUAAACAGGUUUCCACUGGGGAACACUGAGAUCUGUUAUUAAACAGGUUUCCACUGGGGAACACUGAGAUCUGUUACCUUUAAACAGGUUUCCACUGGGGAACACUGAGAUCUGUUAUUAAACAGGUUUCCACUAGGGGAACACUGAGAUCUGUUACCUUUAAACAGGGGAACACAGAUCUGUUAUUAAACAGGUUUCCACUGGGGAACACUGAGAUCUGUUAUUAAACAGGUUUCCACUGGGGAACACUGAGAUCUGUUACCUUUAAACAGGGGAACACAGAUCUGUUAUUAAACAGGUUUCCACUGGGGAACACUGAGAUCUGUUAUUAAACAGGUUUCCACUGGGGAACACUGAGAUCUGUUACCUUUAAAUAGGGGAACACUGAGAUCUGUUACCUUUAAACAGGUUUCUACUGGGGAACACUGAGAUCUGUUACCUUUAAACAGGGGAACACAGAUCUGUUAUUAAACAGGUUUCCACUGGGGAACACUGAGAUCUGUUACCUUUAAACAGGUUUCCACUGGGGAACACUGAGAUCUGUUACCUUUAAACAGGUUUCCACUGGGGAACACUGAGAUCUGUUAUUAAACAGGUUUCUACUAGGGAACACUGAGAUCUGUUAUUAAACAGGUUUCCACUAGGGAACACUGAGAUCUGUUAUUAAACAGGUUUCCACUAGGGGAACACUGAGAUCUGUUGUUAAGCAGGUUUCCACUGGGGAACACUGAGAUCUGUUACCUUUAAACAGGUUUCCACUGGGGAACACUGAGAUCUGUUACCUUUAAACAGGGGAACACUGAGAUCUGUUAUUAAACAGUUUUCUACUGGGGAACACUGAGAUCUGUUAUUAAACAGGUUUCCACUGGGGGAACACUGAGAUCUGUUAUUAAACAGGUUUCCACUGG
This is a long non-coding RNA of Oncorhynchus gorbuscha (pink salmon), 1729 nucleotides long. RefSeq lists it as uncharacterized. The record is from RefSeq and is a predicted model, not a curated record. The transcript has 2 exons. Lineage: Eukaryota; Metazoa; Chordata; Actinopteri; Salmoniformes; Salmonidae.